CAGCCGCCACGGUAAUACGUAGGUGGCAAGCGUUGUCCGGAAUUAUUGGGCGUAAAGCGCGCGCAGGUGGUUUAAUAAGUCUGAUGUGAAAGCCCACAGCUCAACCGUGGAGGAUCAUUGGAAACUGUUAAACUUGAGUGCAGGAGAGAAAAGUGGAAUUCCUAGUGUAGCGGUGAAAUGCGUAGAGAUUAGGAGGAACACCAGUGGCGAAGGCGGCUUUUUGGCCUGUAACUGGCACUGAGGCGCGAAAGCGUGGGGAGCAAACAGGAUUAGAUACCCCCGUAGUCCCUGUCUCUUAUAC
Molecule: ribosomal RNA, 301 nt
Filed under: uncultured bacterium
Lineage: Bacteria
Description: partial 16S ribosomal RNA
Rfam family: Bacterial small subunit ribosomal RNA
Source: RNAcentral